GAUGAAGAACGUAGCGAAAUGCGAUACUUGGUGUGAAUUGCAGAAUCCCGUGAACCAUCGAGUCUUUGAACGCACGUUGCGCCUCAAGCCAUUAGGUUGAGGGCACGUCUGCCUGGGCGUCACAUAUCGUUGCCUGAUGCCAGUUUCCUCGUGAUGGGUGACUGUGCAGGGCGAAUGAUGGCUUCCCGUGAGCAUUGUUGCCUCAUGGUUGGUUGAAAAUUGAGUCCUUGGUAGGGAGCGCCGUGAUAGAUGGUGGUUGAGUGACGAACGAGACCCAAUCAUGUGAGACCCCUACCGAAUUUGGCCUUCAUGACCCACAUGCGUCUUUGGAACGCUCAUGACGAGACCUCAGGUCAGGCGGGGCUACCCGCUGAGUUUAAGCAUAUCAAUAAGCGGAGGA
This 400-nucleotide unclassified non-coding RNA is filed under the name soil metagenome. RNAcentral describes it as "partial contains 5.8S ribosomal RNA, internal transcribed spacer 2, and large subunit ribosomal RNA". The stretch from base 1 to 122 matches the Rfam family "5.8S ribosomal RNA", at positions 35 to 154 of the family's 154-position model. The record is from RNAcentral.